UAUUAAUGUUAUGAUAAAUGUGACUUGGAUAAUUAGGCAUUUUGUUAUUGUAUAUUUGUUGUUUUCAUUGCAAAUUUGUUUUAUUGAAUCUUCUAUUUAUUGAGAUAAAGAUUUAUUUUCUUGUGUAGCCAUCAUAGUGUUUUGAAUGUCAUUAAAAUGCAUAUUCAUAAACUAUACUUAAAAUGAUUAGCUACAAUACUAUUUCAAAUUCUGUGUUUUCUAGUUAAAAUGUAUUUUUUUUUUGUUUGUUUGCAGGUGAAGUUUUUAGAAGCAAAGUUCUAGAACAGUUUCUGCCAGAAGAACAGAGGGCAGCUCUACGAGGAAGUACAACGGAGACUCAAGUCCUUUGGAGGAGCCUUUUUUCCUGGACCUGCUGCAUCAGCCUGACUGGUUGUUGAGGAGAGGAGCUGUGAUUUCUGCCUGAAGUGUCGGGCUCAUGGGCUGCAGAACAACAUCCAGAAGGAGCAUCAAGCACUCUGUCAACUCCAAACACCAAGUUAAUGUUCAAUCAAAACUGCUCCUUAAA
Molecule: long non-coding RNA, 526 nt
Organism: Oryzias melastigma (Indian medaka)
Lineage: Eukaryota; Metazoa; Chordata; Actinopteri; Beloniformes; Adrianichthyidae
Exons: 2
Source: RefSeq, a predicted model, not a curated record